This 30-nucleotide non-coding RNA is filed under the name Rattus norvegicus (Norway rat). Lineage: Eukaryota; Metazoa; Chordata; Mammalia; Rodentia; Muridae. The record is from RNAcentral.
CCUUCACAUGUAAUGAUGCGUCAGUGUUGC